RNAcentral lists this ribosomal RNA (447 nucleotides) under uncultured bacterium. RNAcentral describes it as "bacterial SSU rRNA". It matches the Rfam family "Bacterial small subunit ribosomal RNA", at positions 355 to 825 of the family's 1533-position model. The record is from RNAcentral.
UCGGGAAUUUUGGGCAAUGGGCGAAAGCCUGACCCAGCAACGCCGCGUGAAGGAUGAAGUAUUUCGGUAUGUAAACUUCGAAAGAAUAGGAAGAAUAAAUGACGGUACUAUUUAUAAGGUCCGGCUAACUACGUGCCAGCAGCCGCGGUAAUACGUAGGGACCAAGCGUUGUUCGGAUUUACUGGGCGUAAAGGGCGCGUAGGCGGCAUGACAAGUCACUUGUGAAAUCUCUGGGCUUAACCCAGAACGGCCAAGUGAUACUGUCGCGCUAGAGUGCAGAAGGGGCAAUCGGAAUUCUUGGUGUAGCGGUGAAAUGCGUAGAUAUCAAGAGGAACACCUGAGGUGAAGACGGGUUGCUGGGCUGACACUGACGCUGAGGCGCGAAAGCCAGGGGAGCAAACGGGAUUAGAUACCCUUGUAGUCCCUGAGCGGGCUGGCAAGGCGCAU